GGUGCUGUAGCUCAGUGGUAGAGCACCUGCCUUGCACAUGUGCAGCACUGGGUUUGAUCCUCAGCACCA
Molecule: transfer RNA, 69 nt
Filed under: Ictidomys tridecemlineatus (thirteen-lined ground squirrel)
Lineage: Eukaryota; Metazoa; Chordata; Mammalia; Rodentia; Sciuridae
Description: Spermophilus tridecemlineatus (thirteen-lined ground squirrel) tRNA
Rfam family: tRNA
About the family: Transfer RNA (tRNA) molecules are approximately 80 nucleotides in length. Their secondary structure includes four short double-helical elements and three loops (D, anti-codon, and T loops). Further hydrogen bonds mediate the characteristic L-shaped molecular structure. tRNAs have two regions of fundamental functional importance: the anti-codon, which is responsible for specific mRNA codon recognition, and the 3' end, to which the tRNAs corresponding amino acid is attached (by aminoacyl-tRNA synthetases). tRNAs cope with the degeneracy of the genetic code in two manners: having more than one tRNA (with a specific anti-codon) for a particular amino acid; and 'wobble' base-pairing, i.e. permitting non-standard base-pairing at the 3rd anti-codon position.
Source: Rfam by way of RNAcentral